Molecule: long non-coding RNA, 1034 nt
Organism: Pyrus x bretschneideri (Chinese white pear)
Lineage: Eukaryota; Viridiplantae; Streptophyta; Magnoliopsida; Rosales; Rosaceae
Exons: 2
Source: RefSeq, a predicted model, not a curated record
UAAGUACAAUAAAUAAAUUAAAACAAUAGGCGGUAAUUCCAGCCAUAGUAAAUAAAUUGCAUUUAAGUAAAUAAAGCUUGUGACAAGGGCUUUAAUUCAACACCAUUCACAUAAAUCAAAAACUUAAAGCAUUAAGCGGUAAAACCGACCAUAAUAAAUAAAUUGCUUUAAAGUAAAUAGAACUUGUGAAAGAAUUUUAAACCAACACCAUUCACAUAAAUAAAUACAUAUAUAUUUUCUUCUUUCCUUUCAGAUGGUGCAACACCAUCUAAAAGUCUUUACCCUUUUUUUUUAUUAUUAUUUUUUUUCUUAUUCAUUCACAUGGUGCAACAAUCCAAAAAACCUUUGUUUUUUUUUUCUUGGUUUCCACAUGGUGUCUAACGCACCAUCAUUUUUCCUUUUAUUUUAUUAUUUUGUCUUAUGUUUUUUCAAAAUGUGUUGAUGCAUCAUUCCAUUUCUUUUGCCCCUUUUUCUUUCUGCAAAAACCCACAGACUGUUACUUUUUCCAUAAGAGAGGCUAGAUAAGGAAUACCAUUUCCCAUCCCCGUGUUUUCUUCAAUUUUCCUUGCAUGGUCCGGAGAACAUGGCAUCGCGAAGCAAGAACUUCCAUACAGGAACAUAGAUGACAUCGAGGUUGAUGGAGGUACAAGAGAGGGAGGCCUAUGUGGAGUCAGUCCUGCCAUCACCAUCUCAAAAAACUGAGUAUUCAUAGGAGUUCUCGAGAUACGUCGAAAAUGACGCGAUCUAGGUUUCCAAGUAUGAUGAGAUUCUUCUGGAUCUCUGGAAACCAGUUGUCAGUUACCCGAAAACAAAAGGGGAAAUGCAAGAGGAUAAAGCGGAACGGGUGAUGCUAAAGAGAGACACCACGUUUAAACUAUCUAUCUGAUAAACGUAGGAUUCAUAAUACAAGUAAGUCUUACUUUUAUUAGAAAGAGAGUUUCAGUACGUCAUAUUGUCAAGGGAUGUUACUAAUUCACUUAUGGUGUAACACAUGUAUCUAUUUGUUAAUAGAAGUUGUCAUUUUUUUGUUGAAA